GUCUAUGGCCAUGCCACCCUGAACAAGCCCGAUGUCCGAUCUCGGAAGCUAAGCAGGGUUGUGCCUGGUUAGUACUUGGACGGGGGACCACCUAGGUAGACCAGGUGCUGUAGGCA
Molecule: ribosomal RNA, 116 nt
Filed under: Pteropus alecto (black flying fox)
Lineage: Eukaryota; Metazoa; Chordata; Mammalia; Chiroptera; Pteropodidae
Source: RNAcentral